UUGUGCAUUUAUACUAUCCUUAUUUGUGUAAUUUGCUUUAUUAAAUUCCUAGCUGCAAAGGGACCACUCUUAUUUUCGAAUUUUUUGAUUUGUCAUUUUCCAUGUCUGUAGUCUGUGUUGGUGAAACGAAUCUUCCAUGUGAUUUACAUUAUCUUCGCUUUGGCAAUUUUAAAAUCAACUGCAGUUGUAUAUAUGUGUAUUUGUGAUUUUCUUGAAUCCAGGGUUUGUCCUCUCUAUCUGCUCUCGCCCAGACCCCACUUGUGGAACUACACCGGGAAUGUUGUUUUAUAUAUGUGUGUAUAUUGGUGUUGUACUUUUAUAAAGCUACACUAUAUUGAGUGCUUGAUUAUGGCGUUUCUUCAACAUCUAUUUUGAAGUUUGUCGAACCUAAAAGAUAGACAACAAACACUUUGGGUUAGCUAUGGAUCAUAUACAGUCGAGGGAAAGUGAUUUCGAGGUAGAUUUAGAGAGUGGGGGAACAACUAGUGAUGAAGAUGGCAGUUAUAACUAUGAUCUGACUGGUGAAAUUUCUAAUAGAGAGUCGUAUAAAGCGGGUAGUGAGUUUCGUGGAGUUCAAUCGUGCAAUGGAUCUGUAAGGAACCAAGACGGUUCAAGUACAUAUAACAAAAGUUUAAGUGCUGAUGAGCUAUCAUCUGUUAGGCGUACAGAAAUUUUGUCAAACAAAGUGAAGGAAGAGAUAGAAAAGUUGGGUGACAAAAAAAUGAAUAUCGACAAAUCAAGGAAGCCAAAGCCUGCUAAACCACCUAGACCCCCAAAGGGUCCAGCACUGGACGCCUCUGAUGCAAAGUUCGUCAAGGAAAUAUCUGAGCUUGCUAUAUGGAAGCGUAGAAGGACAGAAAGAAUGAAGGCACUGAAGAAAAUUAAAAAGGAGAGCGGUUCAUCUUCGAGGAUGAAUAUAUUAGCAACGGUGAUCACAAUUCUGUUCUUCUUGAUUAUUAUAUUUCAAGGUGUUUUGGGCUCUCGUGUAUGACACCAGUGUGUAUGUCGCCUUUAAAUUCAGAGGGAAUUUUACCAUGCAACAACCAACUGCUUAACUAUUAAAGUGCCUUUACGAAAGUCUUGCUGGUAGAUUUUAAAGUGUAACUCACAAGUGUGCUGUCUUAUCCUCGAAUCUUCCCCCGGCCCAAGAAAAAGACAGCAGGGUGAAAUGAUUCGAGGGGAAACAAUGAUAUCAGCACAAGAGGAGCAGGUCUGAUGAUUUACUAACUGCCCACUUUUUGCAGAUCCAAGGAUUGUGGGUUUGGAAUUAACGGGGGAACUGACUCGCACAAGUUUUGAAUCUUUUGGCUAAUAGUGUCUGCUUAUUGCAUAGAAAUGUAACAAUUACUAUGGAUUUUGUUGAGGGUUCCUGAUAUUUGUAGGUGCUCUUGAGUAGCUAGAAAAAGAUACCCUGAUUACAUGCGCCUGGGCCUCGACACGACUACUGUAUCUUAAUUUGAGAUGUGCACCUUCCUAGUGUUUUGGUUAUGUUAGCCCUUCACUUAUGCAUAGCACCUUUCCUCUAUGUGAUCCGACUGAGGUCAGAUAUUAUCAAACCCAAAGCUUUUGUUUCUAUAGCAGGUGAAAAGAUUUUCCAGCAGAAAAAAGUUCAGUCAAACACCGCACGAGAGAAAUCUUCAAUUUUUGCAGCACUACUAUAUAUGGUUUACUCUUGUAACAAAGCUAGCCUUUAUAUAUCGAGCUUACAUAUAAAAAAAAA
RNA transcript from Solanum lycopersicum (tomato), 1720 nucleotides. RefSeq lists it as uncharacterized. The record is from RefSeq and is a predicted model, not a curated record. NCBI's taxonomy places the organism in Eukaryota, Viridiplantae, Streptophyta, Magnoliopsida, Solanales, Solanaceae.